UCUUCUUCUUCUUCUUCUUCUUCUUCUUCUUCUUCCAUGGCAGUUUGGACAGAGGCGCGCGCAGAGAGGCAGUCUUUAAUCAGGCUUUACGGGCUGGAAAGUGAGAGAAUCUAAACGUGACGUCAAUGCCUAGUAACUGACGCAGCCCUUCAACAUAAAAUGGCUUUUUAUUUAUUUAUUUAUUUCCCCCCACCACCACCACCCCUCCUGCUCUCUCUUCUCGUCAGCAAAGCUUAAUUACUCAAAUUUACAGCGCUCCGUCAACUAAAGAAAAAAGAAGGAAAGAAAGGGAAAGAAAAUCCCCUGCAGGCGGCGCCGGGCGGUCCGCGUCCAUCACUACUUGGACAGAUUUGGCGGUCAGGAGUUUCGGUGAGCUGAAGUAACACCGGAACCAGAAGCUUCUGAAGAGGGCGACAAGACAUCAGAUGUAGCCGAUGUGUUCACAGUGUAGUUGUUAGGAAGGAAAGUGACGAUGAAAGGAUCAAAACUGACUUCUUUUAUUUAUUUAUUUUAUUUUAUUUUAUUUUUAUUUUUUGGCGCAAAGAUGGGGAACGCUCUUGAGCAGAGUUGGAGAAACAGACAGCCAAAAAAAAAGAAAAGAAAAAAAAGACAUGAUGCACUUCACGUAAAGAUCCCAAGCGAUGCACUCGUGAGUGUACGCUUCCCCCCCCCUUUUUUUUUUUUUUUUUUGCACUGCUAAAAAUAGCAUUAUAGUUUUGAUCGUGAGCCAGAAAUAGACAGACGUGUUUCACUUUUGUAAAGAAAAAAAAAGAGAAAGAAACAAAGAAAGAAAGGAGGCGAUCCAACUUGGACGUGCUACUCUUUGAGAGAGGACGGGCCACACUCACGGUGAGAGACAUCUGCACACGCAAUGUUGAUCCUCAUGUACUUCUAUGUCUCUGUAUGUGUGUGUGUGUGUGUGUGUGUGUAUUUAUAUAUAAAUACACACAGUGUUAUAUUUAUAUAUAUUUGUGUGUGUAUGUGCAUGCUUCUCUUCCUUCCUUCUGCUCUGCCUCGUACUUGACUCCAAGUCAUUCGGAGGAUUUUUUUUUUAAAUUAUUUUUUUGGGGAGACACAGCUCUUCCUGCAGAGCAGGAAUCUCCCCCUUUUUCAGUAAAUAAGCUCGAGCAGGGGAAAAAAAAGUCUCUUUGUUUGUUGGCGCUGUUGAGUCUCUAUUACGCGUUUAAUUCUCCUCCCUCCCAUUUCUGUGCUUAACCGCGACAGCGAAGGGGGGAAACCCUGCUCUGAUUAGCGCUUUACGGACGACUUUCCCAUCGGUUUCUUGCUUUAUUUUUUGUAUUUUUAUUUUUUUUACUCUUAACGUCCAAAAGAAGAAUCGUGUUGACAGAAAAGCCGCUGGAAGAAAAGGAGGAGAGAAGGGAGCUGCUGCUGCUGCUGCUGCAGAGAGCUGGGCGCACCGCAUGGGGAAACCCGGGAGCUGUCCAAGCAGCAGUGGUGCUGAAACUACACCAAGUGGCAGUAGUGGGCUGUUGCUGUGCAUGCGUGUACGUGUGUCUUUUUAUAUGCAUGUGUGUGUGUGUGUGUGUAUAUAUAUAUAUCUAUAUAUAUAUAUAUAUAUAUAUAUAUGUGUGUGUGUGUGUGUGUGUGUGUGAAUACUCUGGAGUUUAGCUGGUGUUGUUUUUGGGCCACUGCUUGGGUGUGUUUUCUCUCUCUCUCUUUUUUUUUCUGAAGAUAAAACUUCCUCGCAGUCAAUGACUGGAGACAGACAGACAAACUGUAGCAGAGCUUUUGUCUAGCGUAAAACUUUAAAUCGCCUCAUCCGAAGCCGGGGGGAUUAAAGAAAGAGAGAAGACGAAGAGGCAUCAGGAAAAUUUGGAUCAGCGUAGAAAACACCUGAUCCCCCCACCCCCACCCCUCAGCCCUCCAGCGUUUUCAUUUUUAUCCGUGUUUGCAGUUCUUUAUUAUCUUUUGCUUCCCGGCGAGCGGAGGGCGAACACGAGUGGGAGAUGAAGCAGCAGCUGCCUGCCACCGUGGCCUCUAGCCUCUCAGACAGAGGGAAGGGAAAAGGAGAAAGGGAUACCCCCCCAAGCCUCCCCCCACCUUUUUUUUUGUUUUUAACGUGGUGGAGGCACUAUGGCGACUGUCUGCAAGGCUCUGCGAGCCCGGCAGGGACAGCAGCGGACAGCACGCUGCCCUGACAAUCAGAAUGAGACAAAUUUCUCAGCAUUGCGAACUUCGAGGCUUCCGUACAACAAAGAAGGAUAGGAGGGAGACGAGGGGGAGAGAGAAAAACCGUAACAAACGCCUUUUCCAUGCAAAAAACAACAACAACAACAAAAAAAAUCCGUCUUCGGGCGACAUUUACGAUACAUCGCUCCACCUCUUAAAAAACAACACACACACAGCAAAGAAAGAAAAACAAUAACAGGAAAAAGACACAAUUUCUUCUAUCCUUUCGUGGCGUAAAACGCGCCCGUGUCGAGCCCUCGCGCAGUAAUGCAACACCGAGCGUGUAAUUUCAGUGGAAACAACGCGGAUUCCCGAGUCGUGACUGCCAAAGUGAGUCAUGUGCGCGUUGGCUGCGUCAGGAGAGGCAGUCACUGUGCAGCGCCGACGGUAGGGGGAAGAGUCGUGACUGACUGAGCUGCAAAUAAAAAAAGACCACCCAAUAAAAAAAAGAAA
Long non-coding RNA from Poecilia latipinna (sailfin molly), 2643 nucleotides. RefSeq lists it as uncharacterized. NCBI's taxonomy places the organism in Eukaryota, Metazoa, Chordata, Actinopteri, Cyprinodontiformes, Poeciliidae. The transcript has 2 exons. The record is from RefSeq and is a predicted model, not a curated record.